AUGCACAGGUGGGUGGAGGCACACCCGGAGGGACGCACGGACGGACACGCGGACGCACGGGCAGACGCGGACGGGCACGAGGACAGGCGCACAGACGGACGGGGAGAGAAGGAAGAAGGAGGCAGAAAUCAGAGCUGGAGCGGCCGAGACGCGUCCCCAUCCCCGAGCCCCACGGAGGAAGAGGAAGAGGAGGAAGAGGAGGAGGAAGGCCAGCUCCUACCUGGGAUCUUGAGGUUGAGGUCGCAGGUGCUGCCGAUGGUGGCGAUGGAGGGGGCCUGCCGCCGGCGCGUGAUGCUCUCCUUCACCCGCCCCUCGCCCGUCACCUUCACCGAGAAGGGGCUUCCUGCGGGUGAUGGCCACCUCAGGGACCUGGUCACCAAGGGGGGACCCAGGGGUCCGGGCGCCCCAGUGCCACCCCGCGUGCCCCCGUCCCCCCCAGUCCCCACCUGGGACGUGUUUGUCGGCAAACUUGAUGUUGAUGAUGUAGUUGCCGGGUUCGGUGGGGCAGUAGGUGACCUUGCAGGUGCCGUCCUCCACGUCCUCACAGUUGAUGUCCACCUUGCUGGGCCCCUCGAUGGAGAGACCCAGGGUGCCCACUUCGGUGCCGAUGGCUUCCACCACGAAGUCUGCCGACUUGCCCACCACGCCGCCCUCCAGUCCCGGUCCCCAAGCUCGCACCUUCUGGGACCCCGGUUCGGGUGCCACCUGCACCUCGAAGGGGCUGUGGGUACCGUGUUAGCACGGGGCGGGGGGGGCCCCUUGCACCCACCGUUGCAGGGUGGGGGGGGGGUAGGGUCCCAUGGGGGUGUGUGUGGGGGGUUCAGCUGACCUGCGGGGGAUGGCGUAGCCACCCCAGGUGAUGGCCACCUGGUACUUGCCGGGCACCAUGGGGUGGUACUCGCACUCGUAGACGCCGUCACCCGCGUCCCGCACCUUCACCGGCUCCUCUGUGCCCUCUGUGUAAAACGGGGGGGGGGGGGGUGUCAAAUGGGAGCACCCCCCGCAAUGGUGCCCUUGGCAAUCG
This 1024-nucleotide long non-coding RNA is filed under the name Aquila chrysaetos chrysaetos. RNAcentral's name for it is "lncRNA (ENSACCG00020002191.1)". Lineage: Eukaryota; Metazoa; Chordata; Aves; Accipitriformes; Accipitridae. The record is from RNAcentral.